RNAcentral lists this ribosomal RNA (447 nucleotides) under uncultured bacterium. RNAcentral's name for it is "bacterial SSU rRNA". It matches the Rfam family "Bacterial small subunit ribosomal RNA", at positions 336 to 798 of the family's 1533-position model. The record is from RNAcentral.
UUCCUACGGGUGGCAGCAGUGAGGAAUAUUGGUCAAUGGGCGAAAGCCUGAACCAGCAACGCCGCGUGAGGGAUGAAGGCCUUCGGGUUGUAAACCUCUUUUCUGGGAGAAGAGACAAGGACGGUAUCCCAGGAAUAAGUCUCGGCUAACUACGUGCCAGCAGCCGCGGUAAUACGUAGGAGGCUAGCGUUAUCCGGAUUCACUGGGCGUAAAGCGCACGCAGGCGGUUAUGUAAGUCGGACGUGAAAGCUCCUGGCUCAACUGGGAGAGGUCGUUCGAUACUGCAUAGCUUGAGGUUGGGAGAGGGAAGCGGAAUUCCCGGUGUAGUGGUGGAAUGCGUAGAUAUCGGGAGGAACACCAGUGGCGAAAGCGGCUUCCUGGCCCAUACCUGACGCUCAUGUGCGAAAGCGUGGGGAGCGAACGGGAUUAGAUACCCUUGUAGUCCUG